UACGUAGGGGGCAAGCGUUGUCCGGAAUUAUUGGGCGUAAAGCGCGCGUAGGUGGCCCGGUAAGUCCGCUCUGAAAGUCAAAGGCUCAACCUUUGAAAGCGGGUGGAUACUGUCGGGCUAGAGUCCGGAAGAGGCGAGUGGAAUUCCUGGUGUAGCGGUGGAAUGCGCAGAUAUCAGGAGGAACACCAACGGCGAAGGCAGCUCGCUGGGACGGUACUGACACUAAGGCGCGAAAGCGUGGGGAGCGAACAGG
Molecule: ribosomal RNA, 253 nt
Filed under: uncultured bacterium
Lineage: Bacteria
Description: partial 16S ribosomal RNA
Rfam family: Bacterial small subunit ribosomal RNA
Source: RNAcentral